RNAcentral lists this long non-coding RNA (244 nucleotides) under Elaeis guineensis (African oil palm). Its description in RNAcentral is "long non-coding RNA (EGUI_LNC009676)". The record is from RNAcentral. Lineage: Eukaryota; Viridiplantae; Streptophyta; Magnoliopsida; Arecales; Arecaceae.
UCAUCAGCUUAUACAUUGGAUUAUCCUCUUGUUUCCUCGAAAAUUACUUCCAUGCAAAAUGAGGACAUAAUUAAGCCAGUUACAGAGGCUGAGAUUGAAACUGCUUUUAGAAGUUUACUCCCUGUCAAAGCUCCUAAUCCUGAUAGAUUCCCUACAUUUUUUCUUUCACCACUUUUGGUCGAUUAUCAAAUAUGAUGUUAUGUUAGCCAUUCAAUCAUUCUUUUGUCAUGCUUUAGUGCCUCAA